UACAGAGGUCCCAAGCGUUGUUCGGAUUCACUGGGCGUAAAGGGUGCGCAGGUGGUGAGGUAAGUCGGAUGUGAAAGCUCGGAGCUCAACUCCGAAAUGGCAUUGGAAACUACCUUGCUCGAGGGUUGGAGGGGGGACUGGAAUACUUGGUGUAGCAGUGAAAUGCGUAGAUAUCAAGUGGAACACCAGUGGCGAAGGCGAGUCCCUGGACAACUCCUGACACUGAGGCACGAAAGCUAGGGGAGCAAACAGG
Molecule: ribosomal RNA, 253 nt
Filed under: uncultured bacterium
Lineage: Bacteria
Description: partial 16S ribosomal RNA
Rfam family: Bacterial small subunit ribosomal RNA
Source: RNAcentral